This 288-nucleotide unclassified non-coding RNA is filed under the name plant metagenome. Its description in RNAcentral is "partial contains small subunit ribosomal RNA and internal transcribed spacer 1". The record is from RNAcentral.
AGGUCGUAACAAGGUUUCCGUAGGUAAGUGGAGUAUCAAAGCCUCUGUGUAUUUGUGUGACCCAUGCUAACUUGUGUGAUUAAAGGUGAACCUGCGGAAGGAUCAUUACCGAGAUAGGGUCCUCUGGGCCCGACCCUCCCAUCCCGUGUGUAUAUACCUCUGUUGCUUCGGCGGGCCCGUGGUCCUUUUGUGGGAUCACCGCUGGCCCCGGCCGGCCCGUGCCCCGCCAGGAGCCCCCCAAACCAGCCUGUGUCAGUGGAGUCUGAGAUUGCGACGCAAUAGUUAAAA